This 77-nucleotide transfer RNA is filed under the name Nitrospinaceae bacterium. RNAcentral describes it as "tRNA-Met". It matches the Rfam family "tRNA". From Rfam's summary of the family: Transfer RNA (tRNA) molecules are approximately 80 nucleotides in length. Lineage: Bacteria; Pseudomonadati; Nitrospinota; Nitrospinia; Nitrospinales; Nitrospinaceae. The record is from RNAcentral.
GGCGGUGUAGCUCAACUGGUGAGAGCGCGCGGCUCAUAUCCGCGAGGUUGGGGGUUCAAGUCCCUCCACCGCUACCA